This 6751-nucleotide long non-coding RNA is filed under the name Sus scrofa (pig). Its description in RNAcentral is "lncRNA (ENSSSCG00000058153.1)". Lineage: Eukaryota; Metazoa; Chordata; Mammalia; Artiodactyla; Suidae. The record is from RNAcentral.
CUCUGCACAAAGAAUAGGAGGGUAGUUGGAUGAGCCCAGCCCAUGUUACAAGGAAAAUAUUUUGGGACCGCUAGACUUGGACUCAGCCUCAGCUUUGUCUCUUGUCAGCUUUGUCACCUUGAGGAACUCGCCUUGAAAAAUAUCGCUUUCCUUGAGCGUUAUUUUCAGGCAUAGAUAUUAAUCCAUUUCAGGCAGAGGAGAUAAGGAAUACAAUUUGCAAAUUGUAAGAUGUUGAGAAAAUUGGAUGGAUGGAUGGGCUGAGAAUAUUAAUAUUUUUCUGUUGAGGAGAAAGAUAUUAAACAGAUGUAAAUUUAGUUAUAGAUAUAGCAAUAUCUUUAAAUAUAGCAAUCUGUAUCUAUCUAUCUAUCUACCAAUCUAUCCAGAUAUAUACAUAUGUAUAUAUAUUUCUCACUUAGGGCAGUGGAUAAUAGUUAUUGGAAAAAUCUAUAUUAAGCUGGAAAAUGAGUGAGCCACGUUUAUCCAUCAGUACAAGUUUUAAAACUAUAUUCCUUAUCUAACCUGACUAUGUCUUAGAAUACUCCAGAACUGGAGGUUAUCUCAAAGACGCUCCCCACACAGUGUUUAGGAGGGUCACUGAGGGAGGCUGCUUUCUGUGUAAAUCCUGUCUUGUUCCUGAUAAUACAGCCCGGCAGCAGUGGUUUGGGGCUGAAGCCCAGGCCGCUGACUUCUCACUCAGUACUCUCCUUUACUCAACCGCAUACCCUCUCAGGAGGCUUUCCAUUUCCUGAAAAACAUCACAGCCCUCCUCUAGCAGGCAAGUGAGGGUCAGAAUCCCAGUCUGCUGGUGGUAGUGGCGUAGGUCUGACGGGGGGGAGCAGUGCACAUUAAUUGUGUUGGCUGCUCAGGCCAGGCAACGUUACAGCUUCAAAUCAAUAAUUGUAUUUUUUUUUCUUUCAAAAAUAUAAUGUCAGUGUUUAAGGUCAUCACUUUAUACUAUUAAUAGUUAUUCCGUUUUAUUUUGUUUCAUUUUUAAAAUAAACUAGUUCUGUUACUUUACAAUAGAACAAAUAUGCUAAUGAGUGUUAAAAUAAGAACUAUGGGAGUUCCUGUUGUAGCUCAGUGGUUAACGAACCCGACUAGUACUCAUGAGGACUUGAGUUGGAUCCCCGGCCUCGCUCAGUGGGUUAAGGAUCUGGCGUUGCCAUGAGCUGUGGUGUAUGUCACAGACAUGGCUUGGAUCUGGCGUCACUGUGGCUGUGGCUACAGCUCCGAUUAGACCCAUAGCCUGGCAACCUCCAUAUGCCAUGGGUAUGGCCCUAAAAAGACAGUAAAUAAAUAAAUAAAGUAAAUAAGAACUAUGGAUUAUUCUAUUUGAUAGGGGGAAAAAAAGCCUUUUCUGAGAACGGGCUGAUUUCUAUAUCCUGGACACCCUGAUUCUGCUUUUCCUUUGGCAGAUCAAGAGUGAUGUCAGGAGAGAGGGAAGAACAUAGUGGCACUCUGUUUCUCAAAACAUCUUGAACAAUUUUUCAAACAUUGUGAGUUUGUUAAAAUCCAGAGUGCAUAGUGCCAAGCAGUUUUGCUUAAUUUCUAAACCCCUGGGUAUUUAAAGGGAAAUUUAAUCGGUAUUUUUCUGAAUCGUUUCAUUUAACUCAUCAGUGUGCUGUUUCAUAAGAGCCAUUUGAUGCCAAAGAAGUCUUUCUGUGCCAAUUUAGAAAUUUUACUCUGGAAGGCUCCGAAGGACUGAGAGCAGCAAAAGGAGCAGGGGUCCAGGAGUUCUAGAAUCUUGAAAGUCAAGAUCUGGAAAGGGCUACGGAGAGGUCAUACGUUCACUAAUCAACAAGCAGACGUGGAAUGUCAAGCCCAGGGCACCUGCAUCUGCCCCAGGCACUGCUCUCUUUGUGUUCUGGUGACUUAAAAUUCUGUGCUGAAUAAACGUGAAUUUCAGUUUACAGACUAGUCUGUUUGUACAAAUGUGGCAUUUUCAUGAUUGUAAUUCAUAGCAAGACUGCUUCUAAAAUAUUCUGUAGUAAUCAGCAUGCCCAUGCACCUUUGCCAUGAGAAAGCUUUUCCUCCCUCAGGGUCAGGGCCAUGGCCCUCAGGGGUCAGCAGUGUUCCUGAGUUAAGAGUUUUCAGAAAUUCUUCCUCCUUUACCACUCACUGUCCUCCCACCAACUCAGUGGGAGCACUCAGAACCAGUUUCUGCUUCUCUGCAUUCAAUAUUGCAACACACACACACACACACACACACACACAGAUUUAAAUGCCAUUUGUCCAAGGAUGUUUAGAACUGGAUUUGGGGAAUAGGCCAAUGCCCAUUAACAGGGGACACAUCCAACUGAUAGUGUUGUGGCAACAUAAAUGCAGAGACUGCUGUUGCAAGCAUUUGUUUAGUGCCUAUUCUGUCCCAGCCAUGGUGCCCAGUGUUUUACAUUUCUUUAGUCAUUUCAUCUUCUUAGCUAUCCUAUGCGAUUGACAGUAUUAAGCUGCUUUUAUAGUGGAUGAUAUUGGCAUUUAGUGAGGUUAACACCUCCAAAGUUGUCCAGCUAGUAAGUGGCAGAGCUGGAUUUGAGCAGAGAUCAGAGAACAGGGAGUCUUCAAAAUGCACGCUAUUUCAAUUUGCCAUUCUGCUUGCUGCAAACAGUAUUUGGUUAUUGGUCAUUAAGUUAGUAAAAGUGGCUCAGCCACAUGGACAAUGCUCAGACCUGAUUAAAGGGAGCUUAAUUAGUCAGUCUUCAGGUAAAAUUUUAAGUUCCUAUAUGCCUUCCCUAACCUGUGGAUGGUUAUGCUCAAGAAUUUUAUUAUAAUUCAAUUAGAAGUCAGUAGCAAUGCGUUUUCCCAUAGAAAUAACAUGGAAAUGUUAGGGUUCUGUGAUAAUCGAUAAAAGUCUGCACAGAUCUGUGACUAUGCAAUUGUUCAGAUUUUAAGGGCAGGGUCAAUAGUAGGUCACUUCACGGGGCAUUGCCAUGGGAGGAACUGGGGACAUGAACAGUGUAUGAGAGUGGCUUCUAUGGAUUACAUGGCUCUAUCAUGGGCAUGAGAGCACCUCAGCUAGAACUGAAGCCAAGUCAUUGUGUCCCAGACUUCGCUUCAAUUUGCAGUUAAAAACUUCAGGGUUAGCAUCUGUUGUUCAUCAUGAAUUUGGGGAGACCGAAGAUUUGUUCUCUUCCUGUAAACCUUGGAAUCUGAAAAGCAUCACCUCUCUGAACAGCCUAGUUAAUAAGUAGAUUUUCACUUAUUCAUUUCACAUGGAAUGAAUACUUCCAUUCUUCAGCUGCAGUUCUGUAAGCACCAAAAAGGCAGAGGCUUCACAUGUUUUACUCACUUUUGCAGUCUUGAGAGCCAGCGUGUAUUCUGGAAUAUCAUAGAUCUUUGAUACAUAUUCAUCAAAUGAAUAAAUCUUCGAUGAAUCUCCUAUUCAGCUGCCACUAGCUUGUGAUUAUCAGGAUAUUCCAUCAGCCAAGUUAUAGAAAAAGGAAAGUUGCCAUAUUUGGGGUAUGUUAGGGAUAUGGAUGACUGGAAUAUCUUCUUUUUCACCUACUAGAUACCUAGUAAUCCAUCAAGAACUAAGCUCAGGCAUCUCCUUCUCCAGGAAACCUUUUACUGUGCCACCAACCUCCAACAGAAGCUGGGAUAGAUGCUCUGAUAUUAUCAUAUGAUUGUUAACCUAUGAUUAUUUAUCACUUCCUUAUUUUAUUCUGUUAUUUUUUGCCUGUCCCCUAGACUUGGAAACCAUCGAUAUUUAUUCCUCUUUGUAAACCCAACAUCUAAUCCAGUGACUUAAUCUUUGUACUUAUGUGCUUAGGUAGUGCAAGCAGCAUGAUAUCUACUUUACUCCUGGCAUCUAAUGAUAACCUGUGUCUUCAUCCCUGGAAACUGAAUAUGUUAGGUUAUAUAACAAAGUGUUAUUAAGGUUGCUAAUCAGCUGAACCUAAAGUAGGAAAAUUACCUGCAUUAUCUGGGAAGGUCCAGUGUAAUCACGUUGCUAAUCAGCUGAACCUAAAGUAGGAAAAUUACCUGCAUUAUCUGGGAAGGUCCAGUGUAAUCACAAGAGCCUUAAAAGUGGAAGAGGGAGCAGAAGAGGAGGUUGGAGUCAUGCAUGUGAGAAGAAAUUGACCCGCCAUUGCUGACUCCAAAAGAGGAAAGGGGCCAUGAGCUGAGGGAUUCAGGCAGCCUUUAUAAGCUAGAAAAGGCAAGGAAAUGAACUUUCCCCCAGUGAGACUUAUGUCAGACUUCUGACCUAUAGCACUGUAACAACUUUGUGUUAUAUUAAGGCACUGAUUUGUGGUAAUUUGUUCUAUAGUAAAUACACCUAGUAUAUCCAGAUUUACAAUUUUGGAUAUGAAUAAUGGGCUUGUACAAUGAUAUCCCAGAGAGAAAUCCUCAAGUUCCAACAUGCCUGGAUGAGCUUAAAGUCCAGUCUCUCCAGCCCCUCUCACUUCGUUGUCCAGGAAUUAACAAGUGGUUAUCAGUGUCUGAAUGGUGAGUCCUGCAUGUGUCUCUUUGAUUUUGCUGAGGUCAGAAUUUAAGGGUAUGCAUUUUGGGACUGGAUGAUGACACAGUUGCCAUCAUAAAGAGUAUUAAUACCAUCAGUUGCCAUAAUGACAUUGCAAAAGGUUGCACUUGUUCUUUUCUGAGUGACUUCAGUAAAGAAAUGUUCUGUGAAACCAAGAGUCAAGGGCAGAAUCGCUGUGUCUGCAGGGGUGUGGCCUAGCUGACAUUUUGCUUCUGCUACUGCCACACAUAUGAGAGUGGACAGCUGCUAAGGCAUGAUUACCCAGCUGUGAUUCUUUUAGAGGAAUUGGUCUCUCCUUUCCUAGAUCACACUUAACCAAAGUCAGAGACUCUUAAGUAAAUAUGGCCUCCCUCCAUAUAAUAGGGCUGUCAGGUCCCUGUCUUGAGGCAGCAUUAUCAUCGAGGAUCCCAUAAGAAGCCCUAUAUCUAAGGCUUCUGGGUAUUGGUAAAGCUUCUGCAGAUCCUAGACCCCCAUAGCGGUUGUGCAAAGGGGGUCAUUCCACAACCCUAGAGUGGGGCAAGAUCAUUGAAUCCUACUCUGAUAUUGCUCCUGAGGUUCCGUUCACACAGCGAUUUCUCCCAGAUACCAGCUGGCACACAAAAGGCUGAAACAGAACAGGUUCCAGGACCAGGACCUAACAUUCCAGGGCAACAUUCCACUUUCCUCCCCCAAAGUCAGUGCAUAUGUCAGUUAUACAUCCUCAGAAUAACUUUAUUUUCCAAGAAGCUUUUUUAUUGAUCUACCCCAAAGUCUCCCUGACUUUGAAACUGAAAUAAAGAAGCUAUGGUCUGCAUUCCCUCUUGUCUGCAAGACCCUGAGCUUCUGUCUGCAAAGUCCUCCCCAGACUCUGCCUUCUAAUGCACACUGGAGGCAGCAGCCUCUCCCCUGACAACACACAUACACAUGUACUUAUUAUCAACACCUAACACAAAAACUCUUAUACAACCUUAUAUUUAUAUUUACAAAAGUACUGAGCUAUUUCAUAAUAAACAGUUUUCAGUAUGUGGAAAUAAGUGGAAUUUUUAAAUGGCAGAUUCUUCUUUGUGAAAAAGUCUUUCUUAUCAAAUAGACCUCAAUAUAUGUGUUGCUUGACUGACUGACCGACUGACUGAUGAAUGUGUGGACAAAAAGAAGGAACCCCUAGGGAUUUUAGGGUACUGGAAGAAAGCAGAGCUCAUAUCAUGAGGACUCACUGGAGGAAGAUGGUUUGGGUUGCAAAGGGGUAGUUUGAGGAGUUUGUUUCCAUCUAUACUGAUAUGUAGAAUGUAAGCAAUUCAAGAAAAUGAGAUACAUUUGUUACCCAGGAAAAGGGACAGUACACUGGGAUGUAGGGACCAGGGAUGGUGCCCUAACUGAUUCCAGAGGAGGGCUGGAAGCACAUUCUCCUAGAAGGGUUAAUAACUUGCCAAAUGGUUCACCUUCUUUGGCACUCGCCCUUCCCCCAAGUUAGAAGGUAUAAAUCAUUGACUAUCAGGAUAAUGAGAAGCAGAUUUGCCUCUGCUAAUUUCUGGGAUGUGGAAGGUCUUUAGAAAAAGCCUCAUAAGACAUUGCUGAGUGUUAUGAGCCCUACCGCCUUGAUCGAGGGCACAUGUGGGAUGCAGACCAGGGAGUCUGUGAUCCAGCGUGGUGGAUGCUGCAGGGGAGGGUGGAGCUGCACAGAUAAUACCUGUAAACCAUCACGUGCCCCUCCUUUACUUUGAACAUCAGAGCCUGGGACAAAGAAAAUUCAGCCCACCCUCCUGUGCACUCUCAGUGCUCCUUCCCUUAGAUUGAAGAUGAGGUCUCUUUCAAAUAUCUGUCUCCCUAUGUUCUGAAUAGAGGCUGGUCAGAACCCAAAGACUUUCCUGAAUAAGUAGCUAAGUAGAAAUUGCUGGGGAUGCUUAGAAUCCAAAAGUGAAUGCAACAAUCUGCUUCAUGAGAAAUUAAGUUAGUAUAAACAAGAAGGUAAGAGGCAAGCAGAAAGAAAGCUCAUCCUGAAAGAUCCCUGCCUAUUGGUCCUGAGGCAGGAAGACAUGACUAGGUGAGACAGGGAGCAGCAGCAGAAGCAAGAUGUCUAGAACAUCUUCCUCUUACUGGACUUCAAAAGUCUUUGUCCAGAGGUGGUAUCUGCCUGUUUCCCUGGCAGAAACCCUCUGCAGAGGCUAGCCUCCCUCAGGAGAACCCAAGUGGUUUGUCCUGUGAUGCAGAGUUGGGCAUGGCCAAUGUUGGGGGAGCCCCGCCUGUUGGAUAAUACAUGGGACCCCCAUACCUGUAAUGGUCACCUUGUGACUCCAGGUG